Fragaria vesca subsp. vesca is the source of this 5015-nucleotide RNA transcript. It is a transcript of the gene named G-type lectin S-receptor-like serine/threonine-protein kinase RKS1-like, with no coding region annotated. The transcript has 21 exons. The record is from RefSeq and is a predicted model, not a curated record. Lineage: Eukaryota; Viridiplantae; Streptophyta; Magnoliopsida; Rosales; Rosaceae.
AUGCAGUACUUGCUUCUGCAGAGUUUUGAUUAUCCUACAGAUACUCUAAUCCCAGGUAUAAGAACUGAUUUGAAUUCGAAAAAGGGGCAAGAAUGGGCUUUAACAUCUUAGAAGUCACAAGAUGACCCUGGAACGGGGGACUAUGCGUUUAGGAUCUAUCCGAAUCACAAUGCUACUCCUCAAUUCUAUAUCUACAAGGGUGUCACCAAGUUGAAGGAUUCCGGGUUACUUCAGCACAUAUCAUGGGAUGAUGCUGACCAUCAAUGGGUGGACAUGUGGUCUGCGCCGAAGUACCCUUGUGACUGGUAUGGACAGUGUGGUGCCAACAGCAAAUGUAGCCCUGAUAAUAUUAAUAUGUUUGACUGUGAGUGUAUUCCAGGGUAUGAACCAAAAUCUGUAGAUGGUCGGAAUCGGAGAGAUGGAACAGAUGGAUGUGUGAGUAAACGAGCAGGAGUGUCGAAGUGUAGGAAUGGAGAAGGGUUUGUGAAGGUGGCAAGGGUGAAAGAUCCAGACACAUCAAAUGUAGCAAUGUUGAGAACAAGUAUGGGUAUCAAAGAGUGUGAGCAGGUUGGACGAGACCUAUAUGUUCGUGUGGAUAAAGUCUCAUUAGCUGAGGCCAGGCACUCGAAAGGUUUCUUCAGGAGUGGCAAGAUCCUUAUUCCAGUACUAACUGCUCUGGUGGCACUACUACUAAUCACCAUGCUUGCCUUGUGGUUGCUUAAGAAAAAGGGGAAGAAAAGAGACUAUUUGGAUGCUGAUGAACUUGAGGAAAGUAAUAGACACACGGAAUUGCAAUUUUUCGACCUUAGGACAAUAAUAGCAGCCACAGACAACUUCUCUGAUGCCAAUAAACUUGGCCAGGGUGGUUUUGGCUGUGUUUAUAAGGGGAUUGAAGAAUUCAAGAAUGAAGUUGCACUGAUAGCCAGACUGCAACACAGGAAUCUUGUGAAACUUUAAGGCUGCUGUAUAAAGGGAGAAGAAAGGAUUUUAGUUCUGGAAUACAUGCCAAACAAUAGCUUGGACUCCCUUCUUUUUGAUAGCUCAAGGAGGUCAUUCUGAGAUUGGGAAAAGCGUUUUGAAAUUAUCAAUGGGGUUGCUCAUGGGGUUCUAUAUCUUCACCAGGACUCAAGACUAAGGAUUAUUCAUAGGGAUCUGAAAACCAGUAAUGUCCUUUCACAUGCUGAAAUGGAGCCAAAAAUUUCUGAUUUCGGCAUAGCAAGAAUAUUUGAAGGGAACCAACUCCUAGAAAAGACAAACAGAGUUGCUGGAACAUAUGGCUACAUGUCACCAGAAUAUACAGUAUUUGGAAGAUUUUAUACGGAUAUGUUUAGUCUGGGGAUCAUACUAUUGGAGCUUAUUAGUGGAAAAAGAAACAAUGAUUAUUUUGAGGUGACUCAUUCAAUGAACUUGAUAGGACAUGUAUGGCAACUUUGGAAAGAAGACAGUCUUGGAAAUUUUGGAUUCAUCACUAGAGAUUUAUCAGCUUGAUGAAGUGUUGAGAUGCAUUCAGCUUGCAUAGUAUAUGCAUGCAAGAAGAUUCAGAGGACCGACCAGCUAUGUCAGUCGUUGUGUUCAUGUUGAGUGGUGAAACAUCUCUUCCAUCUCCUAAACAACCUGCAUUUGUCUUCAGAACAUGUUCACAGCUGAACAAGUCUCUGAAUUUUGCUAACUCGGCUCCUCCUCCGGGCAAUACACCUUCUCUGCGAAAAAUUCGGGCUCGAUCUUUGGCUGAAGCAGCAGCGGUUUCGGCACCGCAACCAAAAAAGAAAAAGUCUGUUAUCAGGAGGCUUGAGAAGGCAGCAACGGUGAUCACUUCGGUCUUGGAAUCUGAGCAUGAGUGUGUUGAUUUGGUGGACAAGGGUCCAAUAUUGCAAGGUAGCUCCCCUAACAGUGCAAUCAAUGUUGGCAUUGACGAUGUUGUGGAUCCAUCUUCUGGUGCUAUGGUGGCGGUCUCUCCUAAAGUCUCUAGAAAGAAAGAGCAUCAUGGUCAUUAUACUCUUUACCCUAAGAAUAUUAAAACUAUUCUUGGGGACGAGUUUCAGUCUUUCAAGCUGAAUCUCUUGAGAGGUCAGAGAACCGCACCCAACUCGGACACAAAAAAGGUGGUAUGGAAAAAAGCACUGGUCAUUUUAUUCACGCAUUGCCAGAUUCCAAAUGCCCUGAAAAUGCCAUUGAAAUCUUUGCUUCUCUUCCUCCUCUUCCAACUUUGCACUUCCAGGGACACCUUGAGAUCGAACCAAGAAAGUCUGAGGGAUGAUGAUGGUGGGCUUCUAGUGUCCAAAGAAAGAAACUUUGAGUUGGGUUUCUUCAGCCCCGGAAAUUCCAGCAACCGCUAUGUUGGGAUUUGGUUUUCUCAAUCUAGAGUGUCUGAAAAGACAGUGGUUUGGAUUGCAAACAGAGACAACUCCAUCAAUGAUACCUCUGGAGUUUUCACUGUAAACAGGUACGGAGAGUUAGUGCUUUAUGCUUAUAAUAUGGAGACUAGUCCUAUAUGGUCUGCAAAUGUGUCUCAUUUAGUCAAAGACAAAAGCACCUUAUCAGCAUAUGUUCAGCUAUUGGAUACAGGAAAUUUAGUUAUGUUCCAGAAUGAUAGGGAUGGAAUCUUUGUAUGGCAGAGUUUUGAUUAUCCUACAGAUACUCUAAUCCCUGGUAUGAAAGUUGGGAUGAAUUGGAAAACUGGGUUAGAAUGGGUUUUAACAUCUUGGAAAUCACAAGAUGACCCUGGCACUGGGGACUAUACCUUUAGGCUUCAUAGUUGGAACCGCAUUGCCCUAUCCCAGUAUUUUAUUUAUAAAAAUUUGUCCAAGUAUUGGCGAAGUGAUCCAGACCCAUGGCCGAAUUCGGUCAGAAAUGCAGAGGAAAUGUCUUAUCUACUAACUUAUAACACCGAUAAACUUACAAUAAUGAAGUUGAAGUUUUCUGGGAUACAUCAGCACUUAGUAUGGAACGAUGGUGACCAUCUAUGGAAGGAGCUGUGGUCGUCACCGAAAUACCGGUGUGACUGGUAUGGACAUUGUGGUGCCAACAGCAAAUGUAGCCCUGACAAUGGUAAUCUGUUUGAGUGCGAGUGUUUACCGGGGUAUGAACCAAAUUCUAUAAAUGGUUGGAAUGGAAGAGAUGGGUCAGAUGGAUGCGUGAGUAAACGAAUCGGAGUGUCAAAGUGUAGAAAUGGAGAAGGGUUUGUGAAGGUGGCAAGGGUGAAAGAUCCAGACGCAUCGAGAGCAGCAUUGUUGAAAACAAGUAUGAGUGCCAAAGAGUGUGAGCAGGAGUGCUUAAGAAAUUGUUCUUGCACGGCAUAUAUGAGCAAAAAGAUUGAAGGGGUUGUCGAUUGCUUGACAUGGUAUGAUGACUUGAUGGACAUUUUGGUUUACACCGAAACCGGACGAGAUCUAUAUGUUCGUGUAGAUAAAAUCGAGUUAGCUGAGAAUGCUGCAAACUCACAAGGAUUCUUCAAGAGGGGCAUGCUUGUUAGUCCAAUACUGUUUGCUUUACUGGCCUUGGUACCAAUCAAUGUGCUUGCCUGUUGGUUGCUUAAGAAAAAAGGGAAGACAAAAGACUUUGUGGAGGUGGAUGAACUUGAGGAAAGCAAGAGACACCCGGAAUUGCAAUUUUUCGAUCUGAACACACUAAUAGCAGCCACAGAUAAUUUCUCAGACGUUAAUAAACUUGGUGAAGGUGGUUUUGGUUGUGUUUAUAAGGGUGAGUUGCCAAAUGAACAGAAGGUUGCUGUGAAAAGGUUGUCUAGUAGCUCAGGACAAGGGGUUGAUGAAUUCAAAAAUGAAGUUGAACUGAUAGCAGGACUUCAACACAGGAACCUUGUGAAGCUUUUAGGUUGUUGUAUAAAGGGAGGAGAAAGGAUGCUGGUUCUCGAAUACAUGCCAAACAAAAGCUUGGACUCCUUUCUUUUUGAUAACAGUAGAAGGUCCUUCUUAAAUUGGGAAAGACGGUUUGACAUCAUCAACGGGGUUGCUCGUGGGCUUUUGUAUCUUCACCAGGAUUCCAGAUUAAGGAUUAUUCAUAGGGAUCUAAAAACCAGCAAUAUUCUUCUAGAUGCUGAGAUGACCCCAAAAAUUUCAGAUUUCGGCAUGGCAAGAAUCUUUCAUGGGGACCAACUUCAGGAUAAGACAAAGAAAGUUGUUGGAACAUAUGGCUACAUGUCACCAGAGUAUGCAGUGUAUGGGAGAUUCUCCACGAAAUCGGAUGUGUUUGGUUUUGGGAUUAUACUACUGGAGAUUAUUAGUGGCAAGAGAAAUAAUGGUUCUUACGAGGAUGAUUACUUCAUGAACCUGAUAGGACAUGUUUGGCAUCUGUGGAAAGAAGGAACAGCCUUAGAAAUUCUUGAUUCAUCAUUACAAUCAUAUCAACCUGAUGAAGUUUUGAGAUGCAUUCAAGUUGGACUGUUGUGUGUGCAAGAAGAUUCAAAGGACCGGCCAGCCAUGUCAUCUGUCGUGUUCAUGUUGAGCGGUGAGGCAUCUCUUCCAUCUCCUAAUCAGCCUGCAUUUGUCUUUGGAAGAAAAUCCAGCAUUGUUGCUGAUCCCUUGAUUCCAAAACAAUUGUAUUCUACUAACGACGUGACAAUAACUAUUAUGGAAGCUCGAUAAUGAGGCAGGCCUUGUAUGAAGCAGUAAUGUACUAGCAAGGAGAACUGUCUAGCUAGUAUUCUUACAUCUAUUUGAUCAAUGGAUGAGGCUUAUCUAAACUAGGGGUUUACAGCAUGGAAGAGAGGGAAAGAGUGGAUGUGACCUAAACAGAGCUGAUUCAAAUUCAACCGAAGGAAUGAUGUAGGGUUUGUUCAAUGAGGGUUUGCGGCUCAAAACAGCUUGGAAGGGUGAAAUAUGUAAGAAAAUGAAUCCUGUUGACUCCAGUGGAAUCAAACGAGGGGAAGAUUUGCUACAGAGAAGAGCAACAGCAUGGCACGGUCUUCGGCAGCAAAGGAGCAGUAAGCUGAAGCCUAGAGGCCAGAAGGACAGGGGACUUGUUCUAGUAGUACUACCCCGAGAGAUAUUUCUUUGAGA